GUUAAUACCUGCCUGAUCAUAUGAUUCUAUACAAUAUAAACUUGCAGCUUUUUGAUCCUUGUUUAUUAGAGUCCACACGCAUAUCACAAAAUGGCAGGAUAAGAUACAAGAACUAGGGUUCAUUUAUAACAUAGGACAGAAAUAUGGCUUUACUAUUAAACAGAUGCAGGUGAUAUGGUUUAAGGUUUCUAAGGACUUAACCAGUACGACGGUAGGCUGUGCAUGCCCUAGACGUAAUGCUGAUACGCAUCCCUUUGCUGAAAUCACUGAUAGAGUUCUAACUAAGAAUAUGAAUAAAGGGAGAUAUUGGAUGGCUCACAGGAGAGGACCUACUGUGUUUAAUGUGUUGCAAAACAAAAAGAUCGUAUCCCAGAAAAUAGGACCGGGUUGUAUUCUAUUCCCCUUUAUAAUAAUGAUGAAGAUGUGAAACAGUGCUAUAUUGGGAGUACCUCUAGGAGCCUGGAAAAAAGAUACGGGAGCACAGAGC
Molecule: long non-coding RNA, 487 nt
Filed under: Androctonus crassicauda
Lineage: Eukaryota; Metazoa; Arthropoda; Arachnida; Scorpiones; Buthidae
Source: RNAcentral